AUUCUAAUGGCUAGCAAAACCAGUUCCUUGUUUGUUGGUUUCCUUUUCGCUGUAGGCAUCGUGCUUGCUAUUUCCGAGCAAGUGAUUGCGGCACGAGACAUGCCGAAGAACGAUGAUCAAAUGAAGCAUCCUGAGUUUCUGAAACAUGACCGCAGCGUGCUCAUUCCGGGACUCGGACGAGUGUUGCUGCCACCGGUUUUCAAACAUCACCAUCCACACAGUACCAUCAGUGGUGGUCACACUGGAAGUACUGGCGGAAACUCUGGUGGCACAAGUAUCGGUGGAAAUAGCCAGAUUCCGGGUGGUGAUGACACAUUCGUUCCAAACCCUGGUUUCGAGGUGCCGAUCCCUGGAGGCCGUGGUGCAGCACGUCCUUGAACAUGUGCUGGGCUAUGGAACUUUGAAUCCAUCAGAGAAUAAAGGCAAUCGGUUGUCAUUUUAGUGAAGUCUUAGAGUCUAGUCGUGUUUGCAUUUUCCAGUCGGAAACUAUUUGUUGCCUAAGUAAUAAUGUAUAUCAAUUUCCAAAUUAA
Molecule: RNA transcript, 530 nt
Organism: Hibiscus syriacus
Lineage: Eukaryota; Viridiplantae; Streptophyta; Magnoliopsida; Malvales; Malvaceae
Gene name: putative cell wall protein
Exons: 2
Source: RefSeq, a predicted model, not a curated record